Molecule: ribosomal RNA, 434 nt
Filed under: uncultured bacterium
Lineage: Bacteria
Description: partial 16S ribosomal RNA
Rfam family: Bacterial small subunit ribosomal RNA
Source: RNAcentral
AGCGAACGCUGGCGGCAGGCCUAACACAUGCAAGUCGAACGAACCUUUCGGGGUUAGUGGCGGACGGGUGAGUAACACGUGGGAACGUGCCCUUAGGUUCGGAAUAACUCAGGGAAACUUGUGCUAAUACCGAAUGUGCCCUUCGGGGGAAAGAUUAAUCGCCUUUAGAGCGGCCCGCGUCUGAUUAGCUAGUUGGUUGAGGUAAUGGCUCACCAAGGCGACGAUCAGUAGCUGGUCUGAGAGGAUGAUCAGCCACAUUGGGACUGAGACACGGCCCAAACUCCUACGGGAGGCAGCAGUGGGGAAUCUUGCGCAAUGGGCGAAAGCCUGACGCAGCCAUGCCGCGUGAAUGAUGAAGGUCUUAGGAUUGUAAAAUACUUUCACCGGGGACGAUAAUGACGGUACCCGGAGAAGAAGCCCCGGCUAACUUCGUG